Molecule: ribosomal RNA, 459 nt
Filed under: uncultured bacterium
Lineage: Bacteria
Description: partial 16S ribosomal RNA
Rfam family: Bacterial small subunit ribosomal RNA
Source: RNAcentral
CCUACGGGGGGCAGCAGUGAGGAAUAUUGGUCAAUGGGCGAGAGCCUGAACCAGCCAAGUCGCGUGAGGGAAGACGGUCCUAUGGAUUGUAAACCUCUUUUGUCGGGGAGCAAAAAGCGGUACGUGUACCGCUUCGAGAGUACCCGGAGAAAAAGCAUCGGCUAACUCCGUGCCAGCAGCCGCGGUAAUACGGAGGAUGCGAGCGUUAUCCGGUUUUAUUGGGUUUAAAGGGUGCGCAGGCGGCGGAUUAAGUCAGCGGUAAAAUUUAGGGGUUCAACCCCGACCAGCCGUUGAAACUGGCUUUCUAGAGUGGGCGAGAAGUAUGCGGAAUGCGUGGUGUAGCUGUGAAAUGCAUAGAUAUCACGCAGAACUCCGAUUGCGAAGGCAGCAUACCGGCGCCCAACUGACGCUCAGGCACGAAAGCGUGGGUAUCGAACAGGAUUAGAUACCCUAGUAGUC